RNAcentral lists this ribosomal RNA (253 nucleotides) under uncultured bacterium. Its description in RNAcentral is "partial 16S ribosomal RNA". It matches the Rfam family "Bacterial small subunit ribosomal RNA", at positions 524 to 776 of the family's 1533-position model. The record is from RNAcentral.
GACGAACCGUCCAAACGUUAUUCGGAAUCACUGGGCUUACAGAGUUCGUAGGCGGUCCCAAAAGUUAGGUGUGAAAUCCCUCGGCUCAACCGAGGAACUGCGCUUAAAACUGUGGGACUCGAGGGAGAUAGAGGAAAGCGGAACUGAUGGUGGAGCGGUGAAAUGCGUUGAUAUCAUCAGGAACACCGGUGGCGAAGGCGGCUUUCUGGGUCUUACCUGACGCUGAGGAACGAAAGCCAGGGGAGCGAACAGG